RNAcentral lists this ribosomal RNA (205 nucleotides) under uncultured bacterium. RNAcentral's name for it is "partial 16S ribosomal RNA". It matches the Rfam family "Bacterial small subunit ribosomal RNA", at positions 524 to 723 of the family's 1533-position model. The record is from RNAcentral.
UACAUGGGGUGCAAACGUUGCUCGGAAUUAUUGGGCGUAAAGCGCACGUAGGCGGUUCGUUAAGUCGGAUGUGAAAGCCCUCGGCUCAACUGAGGAAGUGCACCCGAAAACUGGCGAGCUUGAGUACGAAAGAGGAUCGCGGAAAUUCCCGGUGUAGAGGUGAAAUUCGUAGAUAGUCGGGGAGGAACGACCGGUGGCGAAGGCG